RNAcentral lists this ribosomal RNA (847 nucleotides) under Phialodes rufipennis. RNAcentral describes it as "eukaryotic LSU rRNA". It matches the Rfam family "Eukaryotic large subunit ribosomal RNA", at positions 56 to 686 of the family's 3401-position model. Lineage: Eukaryota; Metazoa; Arthropoda; Insecta; Coleoptera; Attelabidae. The record is from RNAcentral.
AAGAACUAACUAGAUUCCUUAGUAGCUGCGAGCGAAGAGGGAGAAGCCCAGCACCGAAUCUCGCGUUCGAUAUCGGACGCCGAGAAAUGUGGUGUUAGGGAGGGUCCGUUAUCUCGCUGCGUUACGUUGCGUCCAAGUCCUUCUUGAACGGGGCCACAACCCACAGAGGGUGCCAGGCCCGUAGCGACCUUCGUACGCGGCGAGAGGAUCUCUCCUCAGAGUCGGGUUGCUUGAGAGUGCAGCCCUAAGUGGGUGGUAAACUCCAUCUAAGGCUAAAUAUGACCACGAGACCGAUAGCGAACAAGUACCGUGAGGGAAAGUUGAAAAGCACUUUGAAGAGAGAGUUAAAAAGUACGUGAAACCGUUUUGGUGCAAACCUGAGAAACCCGAAAGUUCGAAUGGGGAAAUUCAUUCGCGUUUCGGCCGGCGGCGUUAGGCGAUCGUUGCGACGCUACGUUUCUUCUCUUUCGGGAGAAAGACCACCGCGCGCCCUUCGUCUUUCGAUAGACCCGCCGUCGAACGCGUGCACUUUUCCCCUAGUAGGACGUCGUGAUCCGUUGGGCGUCGGUCUAAGACUUGUGCGGUGGAGCCCGUGAAAUCGGCGCGUGCCCUCGUGGUGCGUCGUCGAGACUUUCGCGGACCCGUCUCGUUUCUGGCCGACACGCUCGACGGUAGACGAAAGGCGCGAGGCCGCUAUCUCUAAUACAGUUAGCGUCCGGCCCGUCGCAAGCGCGCCCGGCCAGUCGGCGAUCGGACCUAGUGCCGGUUCCGACACCGCGGUGACUGUUGGCGACGGUGUCCUCGGACAGACCUCGUGAAACGCCGAUCGACGACGCUUUAGUUUGGG